RNAcentral lists this ribosomal RNA (253 nucleotides) under uncultured prokaryote. Its description in RNAcentral is "partial 16S ribosomal RNA". It matches the Rfam family "Bacterial small subunit ribosomal RNA", at positions 524 to 776 of the family's 1533-position model. The record is from RNAcentral.
UACGAAGGGGGCUAGCGUUGUUCGGAAUUACUGGGCGUAAAGCGCGUGUAGGCGGCCCUGCAAGUCGGAUGUGAAAUCCCACGGCUCAACCGUGGAAGUGCAUUCGAAACUGCAGGGCUAGAGUCCUGGAGAGGAAGGUGGAAUGCUUGGUGUAGAGGUGAAAUUCGUAGAUAUCAGAAGGAACAUCAGUGGCGAAAGCGGCUUCCUGGUCCAGUACCGACGUUCAGGCACGAAAGCGUGGGGAGCAAACAGG